GGAUGUGAGGGCGAUCUGGCUGCUACAUCUGUCACCUCAUUGAUUGCCAGAGUUGAUUCAGCUGAUCUGGCUGGCUAAACAGGUGUACCCUUCCUCCCUCACCACUCCAUGUGUGUCCUUCCUGAAUUCAUGCUCUGUGGAAGAGGUCGACCUUCCCCAAAUAGAAGAGGAUCAGUCUUCAGUCAAGGGUAUAAGACUAGAUGGGCUCCCCUACUAGAACCUGCAAACAAACUCUCAAGAGAACCAGGAAACCCAAGUCCAUCUUUGGCUUUGAGAUCCUGAAGAAAGAUCAAAGUGCAAGUAAAG
Cricetulus griseus (Chinese hamster) is the source of this 306-nucleotide non-coding RNA. The record is from Rfam. Lineage: Eukaryota; Metazoa; Chordata; Mammalia; Rodentia; Cricetidae.